This 505-nucleotide ribosomal RNA is filed under the name uncultured Geobacter sp. Its description in RNAcentral is "bacterial SSU rRNA". It matches the Rfam family "Bacterial small subunit ribosomal RNA", at positions 335 to 831 of the family's 1533-position model. The record is from RNAcentral. Lineage: Bacteria; Pseudomonadati; Thermodesulfobacteriota; Desulfuromonadia; Geobacterales; Geobacteraceae.
ACUCCUACGGGAGGCAGCAGUGGGGAAUUUUGCGCAAUGGGCGAAAGCCUGACGCAGCAACGCCGCGUGAGUGAUGAAGGCUUUCGGGUCGUAAAGCUCUGUCAAUGGGAAAGAAGUGUAUUGCAGCUAAUAUCUGCGAUACUUGACGGUACCCAUAAAGGAAGCACCGGCUAACUCCGUGCCAGCAGCCGCGGUAAUACGGGGGGUGCAAGCGUUGUUCGGAAUUAUUGGGCGUAAAGCGCGUGUAGGCGGUUUGUUAAGUCUGUUGUGAAAGCCCUGGGCUCAACCCAGGAAGUGCACUGGAUACUGGCAGACUUGAAUACGGGAGAGGGUAGUGGAAUUCCUGGUGUAGGAGUGAAAUCCGUAGAUAUCAGGAGGAACACCGGUGGCGAAGGCGGCUACCUGGACCGAUAUUGACGCUGAGACGCGAAAGCGUGGGUAGCAAACAGGAUUAGAUACCCUGGUAGUCCACGCCGUAAACGUUGAGAACUAGGUGUCGCGGGUA